RNAcentral lists this unclassified non-coding RNA (323 nucleotides) under Hevea brasiliensis (rubber tree). The record is from RNAcentral. Lineage: Eukaryota; Viridiplantae; Streptophyta; Magnoliopsida; Malpighiales; Euphorbiaceae.
UUUUUGAGAACCUUCUGACCUUUUUGGAAUAAAUCUGAAUCCAGAGAUGCUGGAUUCUUUCUGCAGGAUUCUGGGUUCAGAAUUGAAUGCUCAGAUGCUGCUCUAUGGCAUUAAAAAAAAUGAAUUGUUGUUAACCUCUAAUUUCAGCUAAGGCUGCAAUCUUGUAGAUGAAAGUUCUGUAGGACUGAGGAAAUGCAUGGAGGUUUCUGAUCCAAUUCUUAUUUGCAACACUAUUCUAGCUUCUGGAAACAGUUGAUUGUAUUGCUUCAAUCGUGAAUGAAAAUGGCUGCUAACAAACUAGAAAGGGGGUAAUUCAUUUUAAG